Molecule: ribosomal RNA, 497 nt
Filed under: uncultured bacterium
Lineage: Bacteria
Description: partial 16S ribosomal RNA
Rfam family: Bacterial small subunit ribosomal RNA
Source: RNAcentral
GAUGAACGCUGGCGGCGUGCCUAAUACAUGCAAGUCGAGCGAACGGACGAGAAGCUUGCUUCUCUGAUGUUAGCGGCGGACGGGUGAGUAACACGUGGAUAACCUACCUAUAAGACUGGGAUAACUUCGGGAAACCGGAGCUAAUACCGGAUAAUAUUUUGAACCGCAUGGUUCAAAAGUGAAAGACGGUCUUGCUGUCACUUAUAGAUGGAUCCGCGCUGCAUUAGCUAGUUGGUAAGGUAACGGCUUACCAAGGCAACGAUGCAUAGCCGACCUGAGAGGGUGAUCGGCCACACUGGAACUGAGACACGGUCCAGACUCCUACGAGAGGCAGCAGUAGGGAAUCUUCCGCAAUGGGCGAAAGCCUGACGGAGCAACGCCGCGUGAGUGAUGAAGGUCCUCGGAUCGUAAAACUCUGUUAUUAGGGAAGAACAUAUGUGUAAGUAACUGUGCACAUCUUGACGGUACCUAAUCAGAAAGCCACGGCUAACUACGUG